UCGUAGGUACCCGUCUCGGUC
Molecule: small RNA, 21 nt
Filed under: Bombyx mori (domestic silkworm)
Lineage: Eukaryota; Metazoa; Arthropoda; Insecta; Lepidoptera; Bombycidae
Description: ovarian small RNA-7641
Source: RNAcentral